RNAcentral lists this ribosomal RNA (254 nucleotides) under uncultured bacterium. RNAcentral describes it as "partial 16S ribosomal RNA". It matches the Rfam family "Bacterial small subunit ribosomal RNA", at positions 524 to 776 of the family's 1533-position model. The record is from RNAcentral.
UACGGAGGGAGCUAGCGUUGUCCGGAAUUAUUGGGCGUAAAGAGCUCGUAGGCGGUGUGUCACGUCGGCCGUGAAAACCUGCAGCUUAACUGUGGGCGUGCGGUCGAUACGGGCAUCACUGGAGUUCGGCAGGGGAGACUGGAAUUCCUGGUGUAGCGGUGGAAUGCGCAGAUAUCAGGAGGAACACCGGUGGCGAAGGCGGGUCUCUGGGCCGUUACUGACGCUGAGGAGCGAAAGCGUGGGGAGCGAACAGG